Syzygium oleosum is the source of this 1633-nucleotide long non-coding RNA. RefSeq lists it as uncharacterized. The transcript is spliced from 3 exons. Lineage: Eukaryota; Viridiplantae; Streptophyta; Magnoliopsida; Myrtales; Myrtaceae. The record is from RefSeq and is a predicted model, not a curated record.
UUCUGCUCAUAGGGGCAAUACCUUCUACCUUUCUUGUUAAUAGCAUUUUUUGGCCUUCUGUGUUUUCUCUGCAGGGUAUUCUCUGCUAUAGGUUAGGAAGUGAGCUCUACGAACUAUGUGGGAGCCGAGAAAUGCGGAGCGAGUGCUUCAGUCUUCUGACUAUCAGUGGGAACUAAAUUGCGAUCACCUAGUAUUAUUUGGCUAGAAUCCAAAGGAGUUUCAGGGACCAUUUCAUCCUCUACAUCCUCCACGCUUGGUCCGUGGAAAACCUUCCAAAAUGGACUAUACUCAUUUGCCUCAGCCUUCAGCCACGAAUUAAAGAGGUAAUCAUUGUCCAUGGAGAAGAAGUCUUCAUCGUAAGGCACUUCCUCGCAGAAUUUAACACCGCGUCCAAUUCUCCCACAUAAUGAGGAAGCCGUUCAACUAUGAAAUCAAUCCAAAUCUUCUUUCCUCAUGGCUAGAUACCAUUCCAGAUAGUAGAGGGGAUGAUAAUUCUAAAGUGGCUCUCGCCUUCCUAACUUUAUAGGAUGCGAAUCCUUUUGUUUCUAUUCUCACCUCUGAAUCUUCUCCAAUAUGCUGAGGUUCUACUAAUUGCUUCUUUGGAGAUCCAGUCGAAAGGAAGCCCAUGAACAUGCACCCAAAAAGAACAAGAGUCAAAGACAUAACAGUGGGGGGUGGGGUGUUGGGGGUGCUUUGUUCCCAUGUUUGAGCAAUAUGAGAUGAUUAGCAGACGACCAAGGGCCUGAGUUCAAUACCCGGUUCUUCACCACCUCAGGUUCUAACUGUGUGCACAUUACAUGUUCAGCUUUCCAUGCUUUUCUCAUGGUUCUUAGAAAAGCUUGGAAGUUCACACUGGGGCUUGUAUGUAUUCAAUCAAAUAAGGUAAGGUGGCUUUCUGUUUCUUUCGAAGCAGCCCCAUCCACAACAGCGAUUUUGUUCCCUAACCACGUUCUUCCUAAUCGCUCACACAGGGCAACCGUACGCAUCCCAGAAUCAUUCUCAUCAUCCAUAUUUACGUCAAAACGGGAAAACCAGCACAACAAGGGAAUUGACGCCCACUCACCUCAGUGCACUCGGAAUCUCGCAAGCACAGCAAAGAGACUUCUAAGCAGGAGGAGUCACACUUUCCACGGCAACACGAGUCAUUUUGCAAAACACAUCUAGCCUCUCAGUUGAGAAAUCCAACCCCAUAGCAGAAGAUAGGCGCAACGCACACCAUUUUUUUUCCAAUCCAUUCCAGUACGAUGCAGAUUCAAUACACAGUGGCCAUUUUGCCUGGCGGUCCAGAAACAACAAACCCAGUGCAGAAACAGGGCACCGCUCUAAGAAACUUCAAAACCCAGCCCAGAAAAAGGGGCGACACACCUCCAAACUUCAAUCCAUUCCAGCACAAUGCAGAUUCGAUACUAAAUGGGCACUUUGUGUAGCAGUCCGGAAGAGCUAACUCAGAAACAAGGCAAUGCACCAGGAGUCUUUAAUCCAUUCUAUUUUGAAGACACAUUACAAACCUACGCCAUGGAUGUAAGAUUGAAGAUACUAGGGUUUAAGGGAAGAUUAGGAUUUUGUUUUGCCGAAAUUUCUCCCGCCACGAAAUAUCACCGAAAGAAGUUCUCCGGCUUUUAAUUAACGGAAG